Molecule: non-coding RNA, 78 nt
Organism: Massospora cicadina
Lineage: Eukaryota; Fungi; Entomophthoromycota; Entomophthoromycetes; Entomophthorales; Entomophthoraceae
Source: the annotation of a GenBank genome assembly
GCAGGGGAUGAAAGGCGAGUUGGUAAGGGCGUACAGCUACUAACCUGAAAGUUGUGGGUUCAAUUCCCGCCCUUUGCA